CCAAUAGCGUAUAUUAAAGUUGUUGCAGUUAAAAAGCUCGUAGUUGAAUUUCGGGAUCAGUUGGUCGGUCGUGCCUCGGUACGUACUGGUCAAAUUGAUUCCUACCUUCUGACGAACCACGAUGUCAUUAAUUUGGUGUCGCGGGAAAUCAGGACUGUUACUUUGAAAAAAUUAGAGUGUUUAAAGCAGGCUCGCGCUUGAAUACAUUAGCAUGGAAUAAUGAAAUAGGACGUUUGAUUCUAUUUUGUUGGUUUCUAGGAUCGACGUAAUGAUUAAUAGUGAUAGUUGGGGGCAUUAGUAUUCAAUUGUCAGAGGUGAAAUUCUUGGAUUUAUUGAAGACUAACUACUGCGAAAGCAUUUGCCAAGGAUGUUUUCAUUAAUCAAGAACGAAAGUUAGGGGAUCGAAGACGAUCAGAUACCGUCGUAGUCUUAACCAUAAACUAUGCCGACUAGGGAUCGGAUGAUGUUAAUUUUUUAAUGACUCAUUCGGCGCCUUACG
Molecule: ribosomal RNA, 499 nt
Filed under: uncultured Glomeromycotina
Lineage: Eukaryota; Fungi; Glomeromycota
Description: partial small subunit ribosomal RNA
Rfam family: Eukaryotic small subunit ribosomal RNA
Source: RNAcentral